GAUGAACGCUGGCGGCGUGCCUAACACAUGCAAGUCGAACGGUAGCCUCUGGAUUCGUCUGGGGUGAGAGUGGCGAACGGGUGAGUAACACGUAGGUGACCUGCCCCAAAGAGGGGAAUAACCGCUGGAAACGGUGGCUAAUACCCCAUAUGCUCGGGAGUUCGGUCUUUCGAGUAAAGCUGAGGCGCUUUGGGAGGGGCCUGCGGCCCAUCAGGUAGUUGGCAGGGUAAUGGCCUACCAAGCCGAUGACGGUAGGGGCGUGAGAGCGUGAUCCCCCACACUGGCACUGAGAUACGGGCCAGACUCCUACGGGAGGCUG
Molecule: ribosomal RNA, 319 nt
Filed under: uncultured Chloroflexota bacterium
Lineage: Bacteria; Bacillati; Chloroflexota
Description: bacterial SSU rRNA
Rfam family: Bacterial small subunit ribosomal RNA
Source: RNAcentral